AGUGAACGCUGGCGGUAGGCCUAACACAUGCAAGUCGAACGGCAGCACAGUAAGAGCUUGCUCUUACGGGUGGCGAGUGGCGGACGGGUGAGGAAUACAUCGGAAUCUACUUUUUCGUGGGGGAUAACGUUGGGAAACUUACGCUAAUACCGCAUACGACCUACGGGUGAAAGCAGGGGAUCUUCGGACCUUGCGCGAUUGAAUGAGCCGAUGUCGGAUUAGCUAGUUGGCGGGGUAAAGGCCCACCAAGGCGACGAUCCGUAGCUGGUCUGAGAGAAUGAUCAGCCAAACUGGAACUGAGACACGGUCCAGACUCCUACGGGAGGCAGCAGUGGGGAAUAUUGGACAAUGGGCGCAAGCCUGAUCCAGCCAUACCGCGUGGGUGAAGAAGGCCUUCGGGUUGUAAAGCCCUUUUGUUGGGAAAGAAAAGCAGCAGGUUAAUACCCCGCUGUUCUGACGGUACCCAAAGAAUAAGCACCGGCUAACUUCGUG
Molecule: ribosomal RNA, 492 nt
Filed under: uncultured bacterium
Lineage: Bacteria
Description: partial 16S ribosomal RNA
Rfam family: Bacterial small subunit ribosomal RNA
Source: RNAcentral